GGGUAACCUACCUAUAAGACUGGAAUAACUCCGGGAAACCGGGGCUAAUGCCGGAUAACAUUUAGAACCGCAUGGUUCUAAAGUGAAAGAUGGUUUUGCUAUCACUUAUAGAUGGACCCGCGCCGUAUUAGCUAGUUGGUAAGGUAACGGCUUACCAAGGCAACGAUACGUAGCCGACCUGAGAGGGUGAUCGGCCACACUGGAACUGAGACACGGUCCAGACUCCUACGGGAGGCAGCAGUAGGGAAUCUUCCGCAAUGGGCGAAAGCCUGACGGAGCAACGCCGCGUGAGUGAUGAAGGUCUUCGGAUCGUAAAACUCUGUUAUUAGGGAAGAACAAAUGUGUAAGUAACUAUGCACGUCUUGACGGUACCUAAUCAGAAAGCCACGGCUAACUACGUGCCAGCAGCCGCGGUAAUACGUAGGUGGCAAGCGUUAUCCGGAAUUAUUGGGCGUAAAGCGCGCGUAGGCGGUUUCUUAAGUCUGAUGUGAAAGCCCACGGCUCAACCGUGGAGGG
RNAcentral lists this ribosomal RNA (516 nucleotides) under Staphylococcus sp. SAJ3-2. RNAcentral's name for it is "bacterial SSU rRNA". It matches the Rfam family "Bacterial small subunit ribosomal RNA", at positions 119 to 622 of the family's 1533-position model. Lineage: Bacteria; Bacillati; Bacillota; Bacilli; Caryophanales; Staphylococcaceae. The record is from RNAcentral.